GGGGGCGUCGGCUAGCAUGGUCUAGGCUCCGCGGCUUGGGCCCGCGCGACCUGGGUUCAAAUCCCAGCGCCCCCA
RNAcentral lists this transfer RNA (75 nucleotides) under Candidatus Bathyarchaeota archaeon. RNAcentral's name for it is "tRNA-Pro". It matches the Rfam family "tRNA". Rfam says of the family: Transfer RNA (tRNA) molecules are approximately 80 nucleotides in length. Their secondary structure includes four short double-helical elements and three loops (D, anti-codon, and T loops). The record is from RNAcentral. Lineage: Archaea; Thermoproteati; Candidatus Bathyarchaeota. RNAcentral also lists the same sequence under 4 other names.